GUUGGGUUCAUCUUGCAGCACCAGCUGCAGCCCCGUGCGAUGCAUGUUGGGUUCAUCUUGCAGCACCAGCUGCAGCUCCAUGCGAUGCAUGUUGGGUUCAUCUUGCAGCACCAGCUGCAGCCCCAUGCGAUGCAUGUUAGGUUCAUCUUGCAGCCUGCAGCUCUGUGCAAUGCAGCCCGGCCUCCUCCCAGCUGGGAGCUGCUGCUGCUGCUGCUGCUGGUGGGGGAUGCAUGUGCAGCACAGCAGGACGGGCUGCACCUCCUGCUCCUGCUGCUCCUGCUGCUCCUGCUGCACAGCUGCGUCCCACUGCGGCUUCCUGCCCUGCACACACACACACACACACACACACACACACACACACGUGAUGGAGCAGCAGCAGGGGCAGGAAGGCGGCGGUUCCUAUUUCCUCACAUUGUAGGCGAGUUUUUUUUGCUGCUUUGUUGUUAUUUUGGUUUAAUUUCUUUCCUUUCUGAGCCUCGCGAGGCCGACGCGACGCGAUGGAGCAACAGAGCAAACAACGCAGUCAGAACAUCCCAAUGCGUGGGGGUGCAGAGCAAAGGGAGCAGAGCAAACAGCUCCAAGAACAGAGCAAAUAAUGCAAUCAAACUCAUCCCAAUGCAUGGGGGUGCAGAGCAAAGGGAGCAGAGCAAACAGCUCUAACAACAGAGCAAAUAAUGCAAUCAAACUCAUCCCAAUGCGUGGGGGUGCAGAGCAAAGGGAGCAGAGCAAACAAUGCAAAGUCAUUGCAACACAUGGGGGUGCAGAGCAAAAGGAACAGAGCAAACAAUGCAAACUCAUCCCAACAACAAACGGAAGUGCAGAGCAAAACAAACAGCCCUUGCAACCCCAAGAACAGAGCAAACAAUGCAGUUAAAACUCAUCCCAACACGUGGGAGUGCAAAAGGAACAGAUGCAAAUGGGAAUGCAAAAGGAACAAAUGGGAAUGCAAAAGGAACAGCCCUUGCAACUCCAAGAACAGAGCAAACAAUGCAAUCAAACUCAUCCCAAUACGUGGAGUGCAGAGCAAACGGAGCAGAGCAAACAACGCAAAGUCAUUGCAACACAUGGGGGUGCAGAGCAAAAGGGACAGAGCAAACAAUGCAAACUCAUCCCAACAACAAAUGGGAGUGCAGAGCAAAAGGAGCAGCCCUUGCAACUCCAAGAACAGAGCAAACAAUGCAGUUAAAACUCAUCCCAACACGUGGGAGUGCAAAAGGAACAGAGCAAACAACGCAAAGUCAUCCCAACAACAAAUGGGAGGGCAGAGCAAAGGGAGCAGAGCAAACAACGCAAACUCAUUGCAACACAUGGGAGUGCAGAAGGAACAGAUGGGAAUGCAAAAGGAACAGAGCAAACAACUCCAAGAACAAAGCAAACAAUGCAAUCAAACUCAUCCCAACACGUGGAGUGCAGAGCAGAAGGAGCAGAGCAAACAACGCAAAGUCAUUGCAACACAUGGGGGUGCAGAGCAAAAGGAACAGAGCAAACAACUCCAAGAACAGAGCAAAUAAUGCAGUUAAAACACAUCCCAACAAAUGGGAAUGCAGAGCAAAAGGAGCAGAGCAAACAAUGCAAAGUCAUUGCAACACAUGGGGGUGCAGAGCAAAAGGAGCAGAGCAAACAGCUCCAAGAACAGAGCAAAUAAUGCANNCAAACUCAUCCCAACACAUGGGGGUGCAGAGCAAACGGAGCAGAGCAAACAACGCAAAGUCAUUGCAACACAUGGGGGUGCAGAGCAAAGGAAGCAGCCCUUGCAGCUCCAAGAACAGAGCAAACAAUGCAAACAAACUCAUCCCAACAACAAAUGGGAGUGCAGAGCAAAAGGAGCAGCCCUUGCAACUCCAAGAACAGAGCAAAUAA
Long non-coding RNA from Coturnix japonica (Japanese quail), 1860 nucleotides. NCBI's taxonomy places the organism in Eukaryota, Metazoa, Chordata, Aves, Galliformes, Phasianidae. The record is from Ensembl.